GCGGGGCGGCGCUACCAUGCAGUCGAACGGUAACAGGAAGCAGCUUGCUUCUUUGCUGACGAGUGGCGGACGGGUGAGUAAUGUCUGGGAAACUGCCUGAUGGAGGGGGAUAACUACUGGAAACGGUAGCUAAUACCGCAUAACGUCGCAAGACCAAAGAGGGGGACCUUCGGGCCUCUUGCCAUCGGAUGUGCCCAGAUGGGAUUAGCUAGUAGGUGGGGUAACGGCUCACCUAGGCGACGAUCCCUAGCUGGUCUGAGAGGAUGACCAGCCACACUGGAACUGAGACACGGUCCAGACUCCUACGGGAGGCAGCAGUGGGGAAUAUUGCACAAUGGGCGCAAGCCUGAUGCAGCCAUGCCGCGUGUAUGAAGAAGGCCUUCGGGUUGUAAAGUACUUUCAGCGGGGAGGAAGGGAGUAAAGUUAAUACCUUUGCUCAUUGACGUUACCCGCAGAAGAAGCACCGGCUAACUCCGUGCCAGCAGCCGCGGUAAUACGGAGGGUGCAAGCGUUAAUCGGAAUUACUGGGCGUAAAGCGCACGCAGGCGGUUUGUUAAGUCAGAUGUGAAAUCCCCGGGCUCAACCUGGGAACUGCAUCUG
This 600-nucleotide ribosomal RNA is filed under the name Escherichia coli. RNAcentral describes it as "bacterial SSU rRNA". It matches the Rfam family "Bacterial small subunit ribosomal RNA", at positions 39 to 629 of the family's 1533-position model. The record is from RNAcentral. Lineage: Bacteria; Pseudomonadati; Pseudomonadota; Gammaproteobacteria; Enterobacterales; Enterobacteriaceae.